GGCCCAGAUCGUUUACCGUGAAAAAAUUAGAGUGUUCAAAGCAGGCAGAUCCAAUUUUCAGCCACCGAAUACAUUAGCAUGGGAUAAUGGAAUAGGACCCUGUCCUCCUAUUUUCAGUUGGUUUUGGCAGCGCGAGGACUAGGGUAAUGAUUAAUAGGGAUAGUUGGGGGCAUUAAUAUUUAAUUCGUCAGAGGUGAAAUUCUUGGAUUUAAGAAAGGAUGUAUACAAACUUCUGCGAAAGCAUCUGCCCAGGAUGUUUUCAUUAAUCAAGAACGAAAGUUAGGGGAUCGAAGACGAUCAGAUACCGUCGUAGUCUUAACCAUAAACGAUGCCGACCAGCGAUUAGGAGACGUUGAAUACAAAACACCACCAUCGGUUGCGGUCGUCCUUGGCGUCGGUCUUUCGGGGCCGGCGCGGGGACGGCUUAGCCCGGUGGCACCGGUGAAUGACUCCCUAGCAGCUUGUGAGAGAAUACGACGGUAUGGGCAU
RNAcentral lists this ribosomal RNA (489 nucleotides) under Acanthamoeba sp. AcaHTW12. Its description in RNAcentral is "SSU rRNA". The stretch from base 1 to 411 matches the Rfam family "Eukaryotic small subunit ribosomal RNA", at positions 740 to 1116 of the family's 1831-position model. Lineage: Eukaryota; Discosea; Longamoebia; Acanthamoebidae. The record is from RNAcentral.